This is a small nucleolar RNA of Artibeus jamaicensis (Jamaican fruit-eating bat), 149 nucleotides long. RefSeq annotates it as small nucleolar RNA SNORA57. The record is from RefSeq and is a predicted model, not a curated record. NCBI's taxonomy places the organism in Eukaryota, Metazoa, Chordata, Mammalia, Chiroptera, Phyllostomidae. The transcript has a single exon.
CCUCUUCUACUUGGCGUGGGUCGGGCAUGCGGUCCCGAUCCCCGCAAUGUACUAAGGGAGAGGGAAAGGUCUCCAGCCCUCUCGGCUGCAUAUCUUCGGUGCUGAUGGUUUCCAGUCCAUUGGUUCUAUCCUCAAGCACCGGGACAUGG